RNAcentral lists this ribosomal RNA (492 nucleotides) under uncultured bacterium. Its description in RNAcentral is "partial 16S ribosomal RNA". It matches the Rfam family "Bacterial small subunit ribosomal RNA", at positions 29 to 507 of the family's 1533-position model. The record is from RNAcentral.
AGUGAACGCUGGCGGUAGGCCUAACACAUGCAAGUCGAACGGCAGCACAGUAAGAGCUUGCUCUUACGGGUGGCGAGUGGCGGACGGGUGAGGAAUACAUCGGAAUCUACUUUUUCGUGGGGGAUAACGUAGGGAAACUUACGCUAAUACCGCAUACGACCUACGGGUGAAAGCAGGGGAUCUUCGGACCUUGCGCGAUUGAAUGAGCCGAUGUCGGAUUAGCUAGUUGGCGGGGUAAAGGCCCACCAAGGCGACGAUCCGUAGCUGGUCUGAGAGGAUGAUCAGACACACUGGAACUGAGACACGGUACAGACUCCUGCGGGAGGCAGCAGUGGGGAAUAUUGGGGAAUGGGGGCGAGGCUGAUCCAGCCAUACCGCGUAGGUGAAGAAGGCCUUCGGGUUGUAGAGCCCUUUUGUUGGGAGAGAAAAGCAGCAGGUUAAUACCCCGCUGUUCUGACGGUACCCGAAGAAUAAGCACCGGCUAACUUCGUG